Non-coding RNA from Pelobates cultripes (western spadefoot toad), 232 nucleotides. The record is from the annotation of a GenBank genome assembly. Lineage: Eukaryota; Metazoa; Chordata; Amphibia; Anura; Pelobatidae.
CAUGUUGAUAGAUUGAGUUAGGAAUUGAUUGCCUAUAUAUGAGUUAACUCGUCAGAGUCAUAGUAUGUCAAACUAGGUUUUCGUAAGAUAGGCAUGGUAUAGUGAGGCAUUCUUAGGAAACGAUACAUUAGGUAAACUUAUGUGUAGUAGUAUGCUUAGAGAGACUGCCUGUCUAUACAGUAGUUAUUCAUGUUGGGAUAGGGCGUGAGUGGGCCCAUGUAGUGGUGUUCAG